GAAAAAUGAAAAUCUGAGCUACUGAGAAGGAGCUCUCAGCAAGAUAACAAGGAAAAGGGUCAUCUCCCCGAAGCACCUGACUGAAGGGCUGGGAAUUUGGCUCAGCGUUGCCGCCACCUGCCUGCCAAGUGAAAGGUCCAGAGUUCGAUCCCUGGUACAAAAAAACAAAACAAAACAAAACAAUAACAACAACAACAAAAUCUGACUGAAGUGACAUGAUUUCUUCUCUCCACAGGAUGCCUGACAGAAACAUGUUGCUGUCCACAACAUAUGACAAAAAAGAGCAGG
This 288-nucleotide long non-coding RNA is filed under the name Fukomys damarensis (Damara mole-rat). RNAcentral describes it as "lncRNA (ENSFDAG00000025647.1)". The record is from RNAcentral. Lineage: Eukaryota; Metazoa; Chordata; Mammalia; Rodentia; Bathyergidae.